This 465-nucleotide ribosomal RNA is filed under the name Vreelandella stevensii. RNAcentral's name for it is "partial 16S ribosomal RNA". It matches the Rfam family "Bacterial small subunit ribosomal RNA", at positions 338 to 795 of the family's 1533-position model. Lineage: Bacteria; Pseudomonadati; Pseudomonadota; Gammaproteobacteria; Oceanospirillales; Halomonadaceae. The record is from RNAcentral.
CCUACGGGCGGCAGCAGUGGGGAAUAUUGGACAAUGGGGGGAACCCUGAUCCAGCCAUGCCGCGUGUGUGAAGAAGGCCCUCGGGUUGUAAAGCACUUUCAGUGAGGAAGAACGCCUGGUGGUUAAUACCCAUCAGGAAAGACAUCACUCACAGAAGAAGCACCGGCUAACUCCGUGCCACCAGCCGCGGUAAUACGGAGGGUGCGAGCGUUAAUCGGAAUUACUGGGCGUAAAGCGCGCGUAGGUGGCUUGAUAAGCCGGUUGUGAAAGCCCCGGGCUCAACCUGGGAACGGCAUCCGGAACUGUCAAGCUAGAGUGCAGGAGAGGAAGGUAGAAUUCCCGGUGUAGCGGUGAAAUGCGUAGAGAUCGGGAGGAAUACCAGUGGCGAAGGCGGCCUUCUGGACUGACACUGACACUGAGGUGCGAAAGCGUGGGUAGCAAACAGGAUUAGAUACCCCAGUAGUC